Long non-coding RNA from Dioscorea cayenensis subsp. rotundata (Guinea yam), 1581 nucleotides. RefSeq lists it as uncharacterized. The record is from RefSeq and is a predicted model, not a curated record. The transcript has 3 exons. Lineage: Eukaryota; Viridiplantae; Streptophyta; Magnoliopsida; Dioscoreales; Dioscoreaceae.
UUUCUUCUCACCGUGGCUUCUCACCCAUGAGCUUCGGUCUUGUCGUGGUUGGUGGGAGAGUUUUCUAUAGCAAAGGCAUCCUUCUUCUCUUCCUCCUACUCCUUCUUCUUCUUCUUAAUAGCAACCUUCCCUUGGAGUUUUGGACUGAAGAGACCAGCCGUGAGGAGGAUCUCGAAGUUGCAAUGCUUUGGGUUAUGUAGUGGCGAGGAGGUUGGAGCUUCAUCGAUUGUUUCUUCGUCAAGCUUCAUAUCUUGUAGCGAGCCCUAGUUCGCGGGAUUUGGUGAACCAACCUGUAGCUCGAAGCCAGGAGAAGAUCAAGUCUAGGAUCGGGGGGGUGUCUGGGAGUCGUAUUUUCUGCUUUUGUCAGUAUCUCUGUAGUGCACUUUUCUGUGAGUGCAAUGCUUGUAUUCUGACUGUAUUUGUGCUUUGAAAACGGGUAAAUUUUUCUAGUGAGUACCCAAGUUUGGCCUUAUAUCAGUUUGAGCACUAACUUUCAAUUUGUAUCAAAAUGAGCAUCAAGUUUUAAUUUCAUUUCUUUGGCAAGGUAAUUGGGGAUUUCUGUGGAUUUUUGAUGACAUGGACGUCGGAAAGCUUUCGUGGAUGCCCUGGGUCCACAUCACCAGGGCUAUUGUGUUCUGGAGAGAGAGGAAAAGAAAAGGAUGAUGGGAGAAAAGUUGACGUGUGCAUCCUACAUGGACAAAAAAAGCCACAUUGGUUAAAUGGCUGAGUUAGUGAGUCGGUGACGUCGAUCUAAGGCAUCGAUGCAAGCUUUCUGGUGUCUACAUCACCAAAAAUCCACCAAAAAUUCGCAAUUAUCUAGCUGGAGAAAUGAAAUUAAAACUUGGUGCUCAUUUUGAUACAAAUUGAAAGUUUAUGCUCAAACUGAUAUAAGCCCAAACUUAGGUACUCACUGGAAAAAUUUACCCCUUUGAAAACUGUUGGGUUAACUUUGUAUUCUGUAGGGCUGCUAAAGCCCAUACUUGUAGUAUUUCAACUUCCGGUAUCCCAUUCGUGCUUCUGUAUUACAUUUCUUAUUGUGCUUGUUAGGUUGACUCUGACUAGGUCAAAUCUGAGGCCUUGCACCCAGUGGAGCCCAGUCCCACUGGAUGUGGUCAAUCUGUCAGCGGGCCCGGCUGUGGGGCUGGGGCAUGACAAGUUCAAUCCCAGUUACAACCGAACUUACGACACCUUCAAUCUCCCGGUUUCUUCAGUUCGCUUCGUAGAAGUUAACUCAUCUCGAGCUCCUCCAGUCUGCACCCACUUCCUUCCUCACAUCAUUUUAGCAAGUCCCCUCUCCUGAGGGUCGCACCCACCAAGGAACGAACAACCAUCUCACCAAAUAUGGCUACAAAAGAUCUCCUGAUCUUCUUUCCAAACUUGGCCCAAGUUUCAUCUUCACAUACGAUCAUCAUUUGAACCAUAAAUAUAUUGUUACUAAACUUGAUCUCCUCUCAUCCAAGUUUAGCCUUCAAUAUCUUUCAAGCAUGAUCUCCAAUCAUCCAUGCUUGGAUCUUCACAUCUUCAAUCAAUCUUUAAUCAAAUCUCACCAUAUAUGAUUGUGUCCUUGAAUAGCUCCGCCCA